Molecule: transfer RNA, 106 nt
Filed under: Verrucomicrobiota bacterium
Lineage: Bacteria; Pseudomonadati; Verrucomicrobiota
Description: Verrucomicrobia bacterium (anaerobic digester metagenome) tRNA-Leu
Source: RNAcentral
GCCUUUGUUUAUGCGGUUUAUAUGACGUUUGCGCGAAACACUGCGAAAUGAUGGAAACGGUUUUGUAAACCGUCGGUCGUCGGUUCAAAUCCGACAACUGGCUCCA